This is a long non-coding RNA of Bos grunniens (domestic yak), 1789 nucleotides long. Lineage: Eukaryota; Metazoa; Chordata; Mammalia; Artiodactyla; Bovidae. The record is from Ensembl.
GGAGGGAGGGAGGAGCGAGACUCACGCAAGGCUAAGCAAGGAUCCGACUGGUCCUGCAAAGUGGAGGGCGGAGGAAGAGGGGUGCGAUCCCCUCCCGAGAGAGGGGCCUGGGUGCGCGAAGAAGCGUGGACGAUCGCCUCGCCGAGGGGAGGAGAUGGAAGACUCGCGGAGCUCGCAAACCUCCGCGGAGCAAAGCACACCUCACACUCCCCGCACCGGCCCCCGCCCCGCGCCCGGCGCCCUGCAUCCCAGCUCUCGCUCCCUCUCGCCUCUCCAUCUCUCUCUCUCUCUUUUUUUUUUUAUUUUUUUGCCGGCCUCCGGGACAGGUUGGGGUCAGCAGCGCAAGCCGGCCGCCUGGCCUAGAGGUCGCACCUGCAGACUUCAGGCUCCGCGAGUGUGCCCGGUUCUGAGUCCGAGUCUACGCGCUUCCACCGCGGGUUGGCGCCCUCCUCCCUCACCUUCAUCUGCCGUCACCACCCAAGGUGCUCGAAAUAGAAACAGACGCAGGAUUAAAAAAAAAAAAGUAAAAAGUAACACGAAAAACCAGAACCGUGCAUGUUUGGCACUGGUGGGGAGGGCGGGGCGAAGGGUAGGCUACUUACUGUCUGUCCGCCGCUUCCAUCUCUCUCCUCCCGAGCUUUGCCCGCCCCUCGGGAGAUGUCCCAUCUCUGCUUCGUUCCCAAAGCUAACCGCACUGAGGUUUCCCCACCCUGGAUGCUCCCUGAAGACGGAGUUUUUGCUGUUAUCCCCGCCCCAGUUGCCAGCCAGAGUGGUACCCAGGCUCCGCGGAGCUUUGCGCUCCUACUGCCCCUCACGGUCGGUCCUAGAGAGACGCGUCGGGCAGAUGCAAACCUCCUGACUCUUCUAGGGGGUAAGGGAAAAAAAGAGAAAAAAAAUCCACCGAGUCAGAAACCUGCUUGAAAAAAACCAGUCCCUGAAGACUUGCCUAGCUGAGGGACAAAGUCUGGAGGCUAGUAGGAUGGGGAAAGCUCUGGGCUCUCCUUCCUUCCUCCACCUACGUGCACUCCACUUGCGCCAGCCUUCACUCACCUUGGGCUCUGCUCUGGUCCUGAAGUCCAGGAUGCCAGGUCGGGGCACCUCGAUGGCCCCGGGUCCUGCUGCUCCCCACACUGGCGACCCCCGCCGCCGCAAGCGCGCGCCGCACUCACCUGAGCCGCGCCUCGGCUGUCCAGCCGGUCCGGCGCCCGAAGUCGGCUCCUGGGCUUGGCCAUGGGCAGCGCCGUGGAGCCCCGGCGGCCAGCGGAGCGAGUUUUUCCAGGACGACCCGGGCCGGAGGGCGAGACACCGGCGCAGGCGCCCGCGGAGACCCAGUGGUGGCGGCGGUUCGCGGCUGCCCUCGCGCCGGGGACUUUGCAGGCGGGGAGGCGAGGUUAUCACCGCCGCCGAGGGGAGGAGCAGAGGGAGGAGCGGGAGCGGGAGGAGGGGACAGAGGAGGCCGGGCCCGAAGGGAGAGCGUGUCGGGCCGAGGAGGAUCGCGAGCGCCCACUGCUGCCCGGUCCGCUCCGGUGCUGCCCCGGGGUCGGGUCGACUCGGAGUCCGGCUCGCCACUCCGCUCCCGGGGCGGCCGGGCAGGGCUCGGGAAAUCCCGCGGACAGGUCCCCCAGGAGACUCCAGGAGAUGCUGGGAUGUAUCAAGAACCACUAGUCUCACCCUUGAAACCACCUUUAUCUGUGAUGAUACCACAGAUGACCAGAGAAAUCCUGCUAGGAAUCUACUUCAUAUCUUUACCAGGUGUGCAGAGAAAGAUGAGAGCUUGGCCCAUGGGUGA